GUGCACUUGCUUCGGCAGCACAUGUAUUCAAAGGGGAACAGUACAGAGAAAAUUAGCAUGGCCCCUGUGCAAGGAAGACAGCAGCAAAAGAAGUAUGGCUCUGGAUGGU
Molecule: small nuclear RNA, 109 nt
Organism: Onychomys torridus (southern grasshopper mouse)
Lineage: Eukaryota; Metazoa; Chordata; Mammalia; Rodentia; Cricetidae
Source: RefSeq, a predicted model, not a curated record